RNAcentral lists this ribosomal RNA (32 nucleotides) under Anopheles lesteri. RNAcentral's name for it is "partial 5.8S ribosomal RNA". Lineage: Eukaryota; Metazoa; Arthropoda; Insecta; Diptera; Culicidae. The record is from RNAcentral.
UGGGACCUACCAUGACGUACCCAUACUUGAGC